Molecule: transfer RNA, 73 nt
Filed under: Ovis aries (sheep)
Lineage: Eukaryota; Metazoa; Chordata; Mammalia; Artiodactyla; Bovidae
Rfam family: tRNA
About the family: Transfer RNA (tRNA) molecules are approximately 80 nucleotides in length.
Source: Rfam by way of RNAcentral
UCCCUGAAGGUCCAGUGGUUAAGACUCUGCAUUUCCACUGCAGGGGGCACAGGUUUGAUCCCUGGUUGGGAAA